RNAcentral lists this ribosomal RNA (523 nucleotides) under bacterium A5S_VP6_F10. RNAcentral describes it as "bacterial SSU rRNA". It matches the Rfam family "Bacterial small subunit ribosomal RNA", at positions 337 to 851 of the family's 1533-position model. The record is from RNAcentral.
UACUACGGGAGGCAGCAGUAGGGAAUCUUCCGCAAUGGACGAAAGUCUGACGGAGCAACGCCGCGUGAGUGAUGAAGGUUUUCGGAUCGUAAAACUCUGUUGUUAGGGAAGAACAAGUACCGGAGUAACUGCCGGUACCUUGACGGUACCUAACCAGAAAGCCACGGCUAACUACGUGCCAGCAGCCGCGGUAAUACGUAGGUGGCAAGCGUUGUCCGGAAUUAUUGGGCGUAAAGCGCGCGCAGGUGGUCUCUUAAGUCUGAUGUGAAAGCCCCCGGCUCAACCGGGGAGGGUCAUUGGAAACUGGGAGACUUGAGUGCAGGAGAGAAGAGUGGAAUUCCACGUGUAGCGGUGAAAUGCGUAGAGAUGUGGAGGAACACCANUGGCGUAGGCGACUCUUUGGCCUGUAACUGACACUGAAGCGCGAAAGCGUGGGGAGCAAAAGGAUUAAAUACCCCUGGUAGUCCACGCCGUAAACCAUGAGUGCUAAAUGGUUAAAGGUUCCGCCCUUUUAGUGCUGCAG